GGCUGAGCAGAUCUGCAGGCCAGAAAGGAUCAUUAUAUCUGGUAGGGUUACUCCUCCUGAGGUCCUUUCCCAGAAGAGAAGCAGCUGACUGCCACACAUCCAACAUGUAACCCAAUGGGGAGUUUGAUCCUGGCUCCUGGAGAUGGAGGUGGCUGGCUAUACCAAUCCCCAGAAACUGAUCUAGCCUAAUGUGAAGAAAAGCCAUGGAACUUAAACUCAGUGAGGAGUUCAGAGGAGAUGGUAACAGUAGUCUCCUCUGACCUUGAAAUCUAUGAAUAUCCAUUAAUGCACAAACAGGUGUUCAGUACUGUUUGUUAGACUUUUAUGAAGACUGCUGCCAACAUAGUCAACAGGAUAGACGAGUUUUGACUAAAAUUAUGGGGAAGAUGGAACCUUAUAGCAAGAUGGGAUGGUUUCAGAAAUGAAGAAACACAAACGAAAUUGAUGAAUUCUACUUCCUGAAUGAUGCUCUAAAAAUAUUCACAGACAGUAUUGAAGCUCUGGAGUAAAACUCAUUCACAGUAACUUCCUUUUUGGAACUGAUGUCCAAUCUAGAUAAACAGAAAAAUCCAUUUUACACAUUUUGUUUACUUUCACUGAUACACUUCAAUCUGGUGUUCACAACAUAAGCAUAAAAUUUUUAAUUUAUUCUGCAUUCUAGUUUAUCAGUAAAUUUAAAAGUAUUUAU
Long non-coding RNA from Mauremys reevesii (Reeves's turtle), 688 nucleotides. RefSeq lists it as uncharacterized. NCBI's taxonomy places the organism in Eukaryota, Metazoa, Chordata, Testudines, Geoemydidae. The transcript has 4 exons. The record is from RefSeq and is a predicted model, not a curated record.